GAGUUUGAUCCUGGCUCAGGACGAACGCUGGCGGCGUGCCUAACACAUGCAAGUCGGACGGGGUGAGUUAGUGGAAGCUUUCGGGUUGAAGCUGACUUACCUAGUGGCGGACGGGUGAGUAACGCGUGAAUUACCUACCCUAGGGAGGGGGAUAACGCCUGGAAACGGGUGCUAAUACCCCAUAGGCCGGGAGGUUAAAGGGAGGAAUCUGCCCUAGGAUGGGUUCGCGUCCUAUCAGCUAGUUGGUGGGGUAAUGGCCUACCAAGGCGAAGACGGGUAGCCGGUCUGAGAGGAUGUACGGCCACACUGGAACUGAGACACGGUCCAGACUCCUACGGGAGGCAGCAGUGGGGAAUAUUGGGCAAUGGGCGCAAGCCUGACCCAGCGACGCCGCGUGAGGGAAGAAGGCCUUUGGGUUGUAAACCUCUGUU
This 431-nucleotide ribosomal RNA is filed under the name uncultured bacterium. RNAcentral's name for it is "bacterial SSU rRNA". It matches the Rfam family "Bacterial small subunit ribosomal RNA", at positions 9 to 437 of the family's 1533-position model. The record is from RNAcentral.